AUCCAAAAUAAAUCCAAGCUGAGCUCUGCAAUUUUUUCCUUUUAUUCCCCUUUUUCCUCCCUCAAUUUUCCCAGAUUUUUCCCCCAAUUUUCCCAUUUUUUCCCCAAUUUUUUCUCCAUUUUUCCCCAUUUUUCCCCCAAUUUCCCUCCCAUUUUAUUCCAAUUUUUCCCCCAUUUUUUUUCCUAUUUUUCCCCAAUUUUCCCCCAUUUUUUCCCCAAUUUUCCCCAUUUUCCACUCCAAUUUCCCUCCCAUUUUAUUCCAAAUUUUCCCCAUUUCCCCCAAUUUUUUCCCCAUUUUUCCCUCAUUUUUUUCCCAAUUUUCCCCAAUUUUCCCCCAUUUUUUCCCUCAUUUUUUCCCCAAUUUUCUCCAAUUUCCCCCCAUUUUUUCCCUUCUUUUUUCCCCAUUUUUUCCCCCAUUUUCCCCCAAUUUUUCCCCAUUUUCCCCCCUUUUUUUCCCAUUUUCCCCCCCAUUUUUUCCCAUUUUUUCCCCAUUUUUUUUCCCAUUUUUUCCCCAUUUUUUCCCAUUUUUCCCCCAAUUUUCCCCAUUUUUUCCCCCAUUUUUUCCCCAUUUUAUUCCCAUUUUUUCCCCAUUUUUCCCCCAAUUUCCCCCAAUUUCCCUCCCAUUUUUUCCCAUUUUUCCCCCAUUUUCCCCCAUUUUUUCCCAAUUUUCCCUCCCAUUUUAUUCCAAUUUUUUCCCCAUUUUUUCCUCUUUUUCCCCCAAUUUUCCCCCUUUUUUCCCCAAUUUUCCCCAAUUUCCCUCCCAUUUUAUUCCAAUUUUUUCCCAUUUUUUCUCCAUUUUUUCCCCCCAUUUUCCCCCAUUUUAUUCCCAUUUUUUCCCCAUUUUCCCCCCAAUUUCCCUCCCAUUUUAUUUCAAUUUUUUCCCCAUUUUUUCCCCAAUUUCCCUCCCAUUUUAUUCCCAUUUUUCCCCAUUUUAUUCCAAUUUUUUCCCCAUUUUUCCCCCAUUUUUCCCCCAUUUUUCCCCAUUUUUUCCCCAUUUUUCCCCAUUUUCCCCCAUUUUCCCCCAAUUUUCCCUCCCAUUUUAUUCCAAUUUUCCCCCAUUUCCCCCCUUUUUUCCCCAUUUUUCCCCCCAUUUUUUCCUCUUUUUUCCCCAUUUUUUCCCAUUUCAUUCCCCAUUUUCCCCCCAUUUUUUCCCCAUUUUUCCCCCAUUUUCCCCCAUUUUUCCCCCCAUUUUUUCCUCAUUUUUUCCCCCAUUUUUCCCCAUUUUCCCAUUUUUCCCCUUUUUUCCCCAUUUUCCCCAUUUUUCCCCAUUUUCCCCAUUUUUCCCCAUUUUUCCCCUCAUUUUUUCCCAUUUUUCCCCAUUUUUUCCCCAUUUUUCCCCCAAUUUUCCCCCAAUUUUCCCCCAGUUUUUCCCCAUUUUUCUCCCAUUUUUUCCCCAAUUUUUUCUCAUUUUUUCUCCCAUUUUCCCCCAAUUUUUUCCCAUUUUUCCCUCAUUUUUUCCCCAAUUUUUUCCCAUUUUUUCCCCAAUUUUCCCCAAUUUCCCUCCCAUUUUUCCCCAUUUUUCCCCAUUUUUUCCCCAUUUUUUCCCCAUUUUUCCCCAUUUUUUCCCCAUUUUUCCCCA
This 1578-nucleotide long non-coding RNA is filed under the name Cyanistes caeruleus (blue tit). RNAcentral's name for it is "lncRNA (ENSCCEG00000000803.1)". The record is from RNAcentral. Lineage: Eukaryota; Metazoa; Chordata; Aves; Passeriformes; Paridae.